This 465-nucleotide ribosomal RNA is filed under the name uncultured bacterium. RNAcentral's name for it is "partial 16S ribosomal RNA". It matches the Rfam family "Bacterial small subunit ribosomal RNA", at positions 28 to 507 of the family's 1533-position model. The record is from RNAcentral.
GAUGAACGCUGGCGGCGUGCCUAAUACAUGCAAGUCGAACGGAAAGGCGGCUUUGGGGGUACACGAGUGGCGAACGCGGGUGUAACACGUGAGUAACCUGCACCUUACUUCGGGAGAACGCCAGGAAACUGGGGCUAAAACCGGAUAGGAAUUCUUGCUGCAGCGUGGUGGUUGGAAAGCUUAGUCGGUGUUAGAUGGACGGGAAGCGUAUCAGCUGGUUGGUGGGGGAGUGGCGUACCAAGGCGUUGACGGGUAGCAGGCCUUAGAGGGGGACCGGCGACACUGACCCUACGACAAGGCCCAGACUCCGACGGGAGGCAGCAGUGGGGAAUAUUGCACAAUGGGCGCCAGCCUGAUGCAGCAACGCCGCGUGCGGGAGUACGGCCUUCGGGUUGUAAACCGAUUUCAGCAGGGACGAAGCUUGUGGUGACGGUACCUGCAGAAGAAGCACCGGCUAACUACGUG